RNAcentral lists this ribosomal RNA (433 nucleotides) under uncultured bacterium. RNAcentral describes it as "partial 16S ribosomal RNA". It matches the Rfam family "Bacterial small subunit ribosomal RNA", at positions 29 to 507 of the family's 1533-position model. The record is from RNAcentral.
AGCGAACGCUGGCGGCAGGCUUAACACAUGCAAGUCGAGCGGGCACUUCGGUGUCAGCGGCAGACGGGUGAGUAACACGUGGGAACGUACCCUUUGGUUCGGAAUAACGCUGGGAAACUAGCGCUAAUACCGGAUACGCCCUUUUGGGGAAAGGCUUGCUGCCGAAGGAUCGGCCCGCGUCUGAUUAGCUAGUUGGUGCGGUAAUGGCCUACAAAGGCGACGAUCAUUAGCUGGUCUGAGAGGAUGAUCAGCCACACUGGGGCUGAGACACGGCCCGGACUCCUACGGGAGGCAGCAGUGGGGAAUAUUGGAAAAUGGGCGGAAGCCUGAUCCAGCCAGGCCGCGUGAGUGAUGAAGGCCUUAGGGUUGUAAAGCUCUUUUGUCCGGGACGAUAAUGACGGUACCGGAAGAAUAAGCCCCGGCUAACUUCGUG